GUAGCGUCCUUGACCUUUCGUGCUUGAUAGCUGGAGAUUGUGCACGUACCCCAGGACGCUUACCCUCUCCCACAGCCCACAAAAGGUAGUAGUGUUUCUGCAGAGGGUCUAACGAAGGCUGUCAACUCCAAGACUCAAUAUUCAUCUAAUCGCCAUCACGUUGUUGAGUACAGAACUGGAGAGGCCUCGGAAGGGCAAAGCAAGCAAGGGUACAUCAUGCCGGUAGACUCUUGGUUCCUUCUGGUCAAUGGAUAAAACAUUCUCUCCUUUACCCCCAAAGUGCCUUCCUCUCUCUUUUUCAGUCAGUUGGUUCAUUCCUGAUAGAUUUGGGGGCCGCUGUUAUAUCAAACAGGCCUGCUUGGCAGGCUCUUUCUGGAGGUGGAUGUCCCCUCUCUGGAGAACUCAGGACUCAGUCACCCUGUUCCUUAUUAUAAAAGUAUUUAACCGCUGUUGCCGCUGUUGGAAUCUACUGUUCAGAGACAGAUAAUGCCUUUCUCUAACAGGACGUUGGACUGAGUGGGGAGCAGAGAAUAAACCAUGUAUUAAGAAGUCCAUCUUCUAUUGCUAUAAAGAGACACCAUGACCAAAGCAACUCUCAUCAAAGAAAGCAUUUAAUCAAGGGUUCGAUUAUGGUCUCAGAGGCUUAGUCCAUUAUUACCAUGGCAGAGCUGACUGAAGCUGUCCACCUAGAGGCCGAGGAGGCAAAGGCUGCAAAGACAAGGCUUGGCAGGGGAGGAGCCCUAGU
Long non-coding RNA from Rattus rattus (black rat), 745 nucleotides. RefSeq lists it as uncharacterized. The record is from RefSeq and is a predicted model, not a curated record. NCBI's taxonomy places the organism in Eukaryota, Metazoa, Chordata, Mammalia, Rodentia, Muridae. The transcript is spliced from 3 exons.